CCUGAAAUUCAAACUCAUGUGAUGUGAACGAUGU
RNAcentral lists this small RNA (34 nucleotides) under Bombyx mori (domestic silkworm). RNAcentral's name for it is "ovarian small RNA-14051". Lineage: Eukaryota; Metazoa; Arthropoda; Insecta; Lepidoptera; Bombycidae. The record is from RNAcentral.